UAAACAUGGUAAUAAAAGGACAAAUCAGUGCCCAGAUUGUGCAUCUGAAGCAAGGGGCUGGCUCUGGUGCUUUAAGACACAGGAGACCCCUGGGCUCCCACUCUGACCUCACCACUCCCCAGGUCUCAAAGGAAAACAAGAAAAGGAGUGGGCUGAAAAGAAUAAAUAAGUGCCACGGGCCAGUUUUUGCAGACUCCUCCAUCAAGCUCCAUGGGCCUUGGAGAAAAUCGGAAGGCCUGUAUUUGAAUCUUCUGGCUCAUGUGUGGGAGCAGAGAGUUACCAUAGAUUCCACAUGUUAAAGCACUGAGUACUUCUUGCCACUAUUGGUUCCCUGGACACCGUCCUGCCUCUUUGGCCAGUAUCCCUGCCUUCUGCUUCUUAGGGAGAAGAGAAAUGAAAGCAGACUUUUGGAGAGUUUUUAAUGUAGUGGCCUAAUACCUGGCACAUGGUAAACACUCAGUAAACAACGGUGAAAAAAAUGAAUGAUUGGAAAAGCGAUCACCUGUGCACACCUGUGAUGAUCACCUGUGAACAGUGACAUUGGGUGGAAAAUGAAGUCAAGGAAUCGGCUCUUCAUCAAAAGGGUCCAAAGAUGACUGAACUCCCAUUUUGCUUUCCAGGAGAGACUCAGUAGUGGUGGCACAUGGGUAGGUGCAGACAGUCUGGAUAACUGCUGCUUGAAGAGUGGAUCGAGACCCUCACAGUGCCAUCAGCUACCUGCAUGCUGAUCUGGACAGGAGCGUCCUUGCCUGUAGCCACACUGGAGGUGAAGGGCUUUUCCUUCUGAUAAACCUUUUUCUCAAUGACUCAUUCAUUUGCUCUUCAGUCCCCUGAAGUUCAGUAACUUUUCUGGUUUUUAUCAAUUCCAAAAUUAACAGAAAAUAUCUUUCUUUCUUCAGGAAAUGACGUAACGAAGAUGAAGAGCUUUAAUCUAACUCAUAUAAAAUGCUCAAUACACUACUUUGUUUUAAUUUCUUUUUUGACUAAAAAAAUGUGUUCCUAAAAUACCAGCCAUAUAUGAUCCUUGGAAUUCCUUUUUGAGAAAAGAGACUCUUCACAAAAGCUAGACAGUCUUCUAAGAGAUAAAGUAGAGUAAGAAGAAGGUGGUCGGGUGGCUUUUUUUUUUUUUUUUUUUUGCUACUGAAGAUUGAACUCAGGGGCACUUAACCAUUGAGCCACAUCUCCAGCCCACAUAUUAUUUAUUUAUUUACUUACUUUUUAUGUGGUGCUGAGGAUUGAACCCAGUGCCUCAUGCAUGCAUGAGCCACCACUGAGCUACAAUCCCAGCUCCUCUUUUUUAUAUUUUAUUUAGAGACAGGGUGACACUGAGUUGCUUAGUGCCUUGCUAAGUUGCUGAGGCUGGCUUUGAACUGGUGAUCCUCCUGCCUCAGCCUCCCAAGCCACUGGGAGAGUGCCAUUUUUAAAGAACUACAUAUCAACUGUGAAUAAAAAUCAAACUUUUAUGAAAGGAAGAUGAUUUUUCCUCCCACUAUAAUUACAUAUGGAAACCUUGACAUCCUUCAACUUUACUGAGGAAAUUAGACUCCUGGGAUUGAUUUCUCUGAGUUCUGUAGAGGUUCGCUCUGGUCUGCAGGAUGGGGGCCCUGUGGCAGUUGAAGAAAGCAUUUGUUCCUUUGGGCCUUCACAGGUAACUCCCCUAUCCCAUGUGUCUGUGGUCUUACAGACUCCCCUGAACCCUCCUCCCUGGUUCCCCCCUAGACCUUUUUCUAAAUCUGAAAUUGUUAGGGCCUAGUUGUUCCUUCACAAAAGGAAGUCCACCUCCCCAGGCUGGAAGUCUUGAAGCACUUCCCUUUCAUUCUCUGAGAGAAUUAAGUAUUUGUUACAGUCCCAGGCAGCGGCUUUUUGGAUUAGCCUUUGCAGGCCUUUCCAGGCUCCAGGAAACUUGGCAGGAAUGUUUGGCAGCUUCCUAAACUUACUAGAAAUACCAGAAGCCCACAGUUUGCAUAAUACUAAUUAAGUUUUCAGCCCAGUCUCCCUUAUAGUGUAGAAGAUCCAACAAUUUAGGAAACGUCCUAUAUAGAAAUUGAUCAGGGAAGGCACUGAUCCCAAACCACCCAUAAAACAAGAACGUGGAAUUCACAGGUAGCCCUGGCAGCUGCAUCCCAUACUUUCAAAGAAGAGCUCUUUUGAUGUUUAUUUCAUUUUUUUCCUCUUGCAGUGCAAAUCCUGCCAGCCUCACAUCAUUUUCUAGUAUCACUUCCUGAGGCACCUGCACUGAUUUCUUCUUUGCCUUUGGAAGUGUUUAGUUUUCUCUAAGCCAUUGUACCAAUAGGUGUGGUACUCUGGUAUUCUGACACACCUCUGGGGUGAGGCGAGACAGGGCACCUGUGCCAAGUGUCUUCACCCACCCAAGGUGUGGUGAUAUCUUCUAUUCUUACCACAUCGUGGAGUGUUUUAUUCACCUCUCACCACAAGUCAUCCAAAAAGAAAACAUAUUGGUCUUGUGCUUUAAACCCCACUUUUUUUUUUUAAUUUGAUUUUUAAGUAUUGCACUGGAGCAUUCUCUUUCUCUCUCUUUUCCCUCUGUAUAUUUUUAUUGAUAUAAAUUCCACUUUGAAGCCUCAGAAUUCUGGUUAUUCUGUGGGGGAUCAGGGAUCAGUCUUUCGAUUUUCACAUUUUUAUACUAAUGACUGUAAUAUCUUCUAAGAAAAAAAAAAUAAGGCAAAGGAGGAGACCCAAGUGAAAUGGAAGACACUGGCUUUUCCUCUUUGCUUUAGAAAUCCAUGUAUUUAAAGAGGCCACAUGAUAGGGAAUUGAUUUGUCAAUAUUCCCUAAAACUCUGUGCUUGAAAAACAUCUUUCAGUAAUUAGCAAUAUUUUUGAAGUGUCAGUUCGAGAUAGCUGCUGAUUACUGGUGUCCUGUUGUGGCUGGGCACCAGGAUCCCCUCUCCCCUCUUUGAGUUCUGAAGUUCCGGUGUCCACGUGGAUUGUGAUACUGCUGAUUUUGUGUAGUCAGGCCUCGGUAAAAGGCUCGGGUGAGUGAGAGAGCUGGUGGACAGUGGCCCAGCCUAAUCCCUGAGGGAGUACCAGGGGGUUUCCAGGCCUGCCUAUUGAGAAGUGUGAAGCCUCAGAAUGUCCCUAUGGUGGGAGUUCAUUGGUUUCCAAGGGAACGAGAAGUAGGGAUACAACAAGGUCCAUUCUUGGAGUGGUUUGGGUUUUGUAGUUGAAGAGUCAAAACCAACGUGAGAAUUCAUCAAUGGUUCAGUGGUGAAUUAUGAGUUCCAGGGGAAAGUAGAGAAGGCUGACGUCAGUGUGGACAGGAAUAGCUGGAGAAGACUUCCUGGAGAAUUGAGGGCUGGCACUAGGCACAGAAAAAACAAAAAUGACUACAGAUUGAUAAAGUCCUAUAUGACACUUUUAAGGGUUCAAUUUGAAUUAACCUCUCUACAACAAGUGUUGUUUUUGGAGGUUGGGAAAAAUUGUUGAAGAAAGAGAGCAAGGUCCCCUGCAUGCACACGUUCAGGCUCUUUCCUGAGCUGCUUGUGAGAACCAUUCACAGAACACACAACUCAAUUUAGGAGCAAAGCAUACCUAAUAUAUUCAUAGGAGAAAAUCUGUGAAUUAUUGGAGGGUUUAAUGCACACUAAGAUGAAAUUAUCUCAGUCAAGUAGAAGAAAUCAGAUAAUAAUUUUUUUUUCUCAGUUAAAAAAUCCUUCAUAGCAGGCACUAGAAAACUGCCCUCCUAGGACCAAAUCAGGCCCAUUUCUUGUUUUUGGAUGACCUGUGAGCUAAAAAUUAUUUUGAAAUGAAGGUGAUAUUUUGUGAUAAGUAAGAAUUCUAUGAAAUUCAAAUGUCAGUGUCCAGAGUAAAGUUUUGUUGGGAUACAUCCACACCCAUUUGUUUAUAUAUCAUCCAUCACUGCUUUUUGUGCUAGGACAGCAAGCUAAGUAGUUGCAACAGAAGUCAAACAUAUUACUUUGGCACUUUGCACUGGGAAUCCAUGUGCUGAAAAUGGCAGUGACACAAUAAUAAAUGGACAGUGUUUUGGGUGACACAUGUAUCACCUUUCUGAGCAAAAAGAUACUUUUCAAAGAAGAAAUACAUAAAACUUAUUGAAGAUCAGCACUAACAGAUGAACAUUUACAAUCAAUUUUGAUGAUGAAAAAUAUGAAUUUCAAAGCCCAGUUAAGGAAAAUAUGACCUCCUCUAAAUGAAUUUCAUUGUUUUUAUUAGUAGACCUGUGCUACAAAAGAAAAAAAAGUACUCAAUUAUUACUACAUUUUGAAUUUUUUUAAGUUGUGAAAAGUAUCCAAAAGAAUUCAAGUUAGCAUACUUUAGAGGUAUAUGCAUAACCCAUGUUUAUUGCAGCACAGUUCAUAAUUGCCAAGUUAUGGAAUUCACCUAGUAUCUGUCAACAGAUGAAUGGAUAAAGAAAAUGUGUUAGAUAAUACACAAUGAAAUUUUAUUCAGCCAUAAUGAAAAAUGAAAUUAUGUCAUUUGUAGGAAAAUGGAUAGAACUGAAGAGCAUCACGCUUAGUGAUAUAAGCCAGACACAGAAAGAUAAGUGUCAUAUGUUUUCAUAAGUUAGAGUGUAAAACAAAAAAGAAAGAAAAAAGACUUCAUUAAAGUAGAAGGGAGACCCUUUGGGUAGAGGAAGGGGAUCAGGUGAGGAGGGUACAGAGAGGUAUUGGGGAGAGAAAUUGAUAUAAUUGUGUUAUAUCAUGUAUACAUAUGCCACAAUGAAGCCCUCUAUUCUGUAUAAUUAUUAUGUAGCAACAAAAAAUCUUGAUUGGCACAAAAAAUAUUUUUUUCAUACCAUAUUGUAACAAGUGCUAAGUAUUCCACAUGAAUUUACUGAUAAAUGCCUUUUUCUUGCUCUGAUUAUGUAAAAUGUUAGAUUCAAAUAAAGUUCAGACCCAGAA
RNAcentral lists this long non-coding RNA (4882 nucleotides) under Ictidomys tridecemlineatus (thirteen-lined ground squirrel). RNAcentral describes it as "lncRNA (ENSSTOG00000029675.1)". Lineage: Eukaryota; Metazoa; Chordata; Mammalia; Rodentia; Sciuridae. The record is from RNAcentral.